Molecule: transfer RNA, 61 nt
Filed under: Ptilodactylidae sp. 2 ACP-2013
Lineage: Eukaryota; Metazoa; Arthropoda; Insecta; Coleoptera; Ptilodactylidae
Description: tRNA-Cys
Source: RNAcentral
GUCUUAUAUUCAACAAUGAUUUUAAAUUGCAAAUUUAAAGGAGGUAAUAACCUAAGGCUUA